GGGAUACUUGCUCCGUCCAACGAAGGAUGUUUCAAGUUUGUCAAUUUUUGAAUGUAUCUAGAUGUGAUUUAGUGUACAGAUGCAUACAAAUUUAGUCAGAGUUGAGACAUCUUUUGUUGGACGGAGGGAGCACAAU
Brachypodium distachyon (stiff brome) is the source of this 136-nucleotide non-coding RNA. The record is from Rfam. NCBI's taxonomy places the organism in Eukaryota, Viridiplantae, Streptophyta, Magnoliopsida, Poales, Poaceae.